AUGUACCCUUCUCUACGGAAUAGCCUCGGGAAACUGAGAGUAAUACCGUAUACGCCCUUCGGGGGAAAGAUUUAUCGGAGAAGGAUCAGCCCGCGUAAGAUUAGAUAGUUGGUGGGGUAAUGGCCUACCAAGUCUACGAUCUUUAGCUGGUUUUAGAGGAUGAUCAGCAACACUGGGACUGAGACACGGCCCAGACUCCUACGGGAGGCAGCAGUGGGGAAUCUUGGACAAUGGGCGCAAGCCUGAUCCAGCCAUGCCGCGUGUGUGAUGAAGGCCUUAGGGUCGUAAAGCACUUUCGCUAGAGAUGAUAAUGACAGUAUCUAGUAAAGAAGUCCCGGCUAACUCCGUGCCAGCAGCCGCGGUAAUACGGAGGGGACUAGCGUUGUUCGGAAUUACUGGGCGUAAAGCGUACGUAGGCGGAUCAGAAAGUAUGGGGUGAAAUCCCAGGGCUCAACCCUGGAACUGCCUCAUAAACUCCUGGUCUAGAGUUCGAGAGAGGUGAGUGGAAUUCCGAGUGUAGAGGUGAAAUUCGUAGAUAUUCGGAGGAACACCAGUGGCGAAGGCGGCUCACUGGCUCGAUACUGACGCUGAGGUACGAAAGUGUGGGGAGCAAACAGGAUUAGAUACCCUG
Molecule: ribosomal RNA, 631 nt
Filed under: uncultured Alphaproteobacteria bacterium
Lineage: Bacteria; Pseudomonadati; Pseudomonadota; Alphaproteobacteria
Description: bacterial SSU rRNA
Rfam family: Bacterial small subunit ribosomal RNA
Source: RNAcentral